GACGAGGGGUCCUAGCGUUGUUCGGAAUCAUUGGGCGUAAAGCGUGUGUAGGCUGCCAUUCAAGUCAGUUGUGAAAUCCCCGGGCUCAACCCGGGAAGUGCUUCUGAUACUGUUUGGCUUGAGUACUGGAGAGGAUAGUAGAAUUCCUGGUGUAGUGGUGAAAUACGUAGAUAUCAGGAGGAAUACCGGUGGCGAAGGCGGCUAUCUGGCCAUGUACUGACGCUGAGACACGAAAGCGUGGGGAGCAAACAGG
This 253-nucleotide ribosomal RNA is filed under the name uncultured bacterium. Its description in RNAcentral is "partial 16S ribosomal RNA". It matches the Rfam family "Bacterial small subunit ribosomal RNA", at positions 524 to 776 of the family's 1533-position model. The record is from RNAcentral.